GAUGAACGCUGGCGGCGUGCCUAAUACAUGCAAGUCGAGCGAACAGACGAGGAGCUUGCUCCUCUGACGUUAGCGGCGGACGGGUGAGUAACACGUGGAUAACCUACCUAUAAGACUGGGAUAACUUCGGGAAACCGGAGCUAAUACCGGAUAAUAUAUUGAACCGCAUGGUUCAAUAGUGAAAGACGGUUUUGCUGUCACUUAUAGAUGGAUCCGCGCCGCAUUAGCUAGUUGGUAAGGUAACGGCUUACCAAGGCAACGAUGCGUAGCCGACCUGAGAGGGUGAUCGGCCACACUGGAACUGAGACACGGUCCAGACUCCUACGGGAGGCAGCAGUAGGGAAUCUUCCGCAAUGGGCGAAAGCUUGACGGAGCAACGCCGCGUGAGUGAUGAAGGUCUUCGGAUCGUAAAACUCUGUUAUUAGGGAAGAACAAAUGUGUAAGUAACUAUCCACGUCUUGACGGUACCUAAUCAGAAAGCCACGGCUAACUACGUG
RNAcentral lists this ribosomal RNA (497 nucleotides) under uncultured bacterium. Its description in RNAcentral is "partial 16S ribosomal RNA". It matches the Rfam family "Bacterial small subunit ribosomal RNA", at positions 28 to 507 of the family's 1533-position model. The record is from RNAcentral.